GACGAACGCUGGCGGCGUGCUUAACACAUGCAAGUCGAGCGGUAAGGCCCUUUCGGGGGUACACGAGCGGCGAACGGGUGAGUAACACGUGGGUGACCUGCCCUCAGCUCUGGGAUAAGCCUGGGAAACCGGGUCUAAUACUGGAUAUGACUCCAUGACGCAUGUUGUGGGGUGGAAAGCCUUGUGCGGCUGAGGAUGGGCCCGCGGCCAUCAGCUUGUUGGUGGGGUGANGGCCUACCAAGGCGACGACGGGUAGCCGGCCUGAGAGGGCGACCGGCCACACUGGGACUGAGACACGGCCCAGACUCCUACGGGAGGCAGCAGUGGGGAAUCUUGCGCAAUGGGCGAAAGCCUGACGCAGCGACGCCGCGUGAGGGAUGACGGCCUCGG
Molecule: ribosomal RNA, 390 nt
Filed under: uncultured bacterium
Lineage: Bacteria
Description: bacterial SSU rRNA
Rfam family: Bacterial small subunit ribosomal RNA
Source: RNAcentral